This 274-nucleotide ribosomal RNA is filed under the name uncultured bacterium. RNAcentral's name for it is "partial 16S ribosomal RNA". It matches the Rfam family "Bacterial small subunit ribosomal RNA", at positions 523 to 796 of the family's 1533-position model. The record is from RNAcentral.
AUACGGAGGGUGCAAGCGUUAAUCGGAAUUACUGGGCGUAAAGCGCGCGUAGGCGGUUUGAUAAGUCGGAUGUGAAAUCCCUGGGCUCAACCUGGGAACUGCAUUCGAAACUAUUUGACUUGAGUAUGGUAGAGGUAAGUGGAAUUCCAGGUGUAGCGGUGAAAUGCGUAGAUAUCUGGAGGAACAUCAGUGGCGAAGGCGACUUACUGGACCAAUACUGACGCUGAGGUGCGAAAGCGUGGGGAGCAAACAGGAUUAGAAACCCCAGUAGUCC